AUUGAACGCUGGCGGCAGGCCUAACACAUGCAAGUCGGACGGUAGCACAGAGAGCUUGCUCUCGGGUGACGAGUGGCGGACGGGUGAGUAAUGUCUGGGGAUCUGCCCGAUAGAGGAGGAUAACCACUGGAAACGGUGGCUAAUACCGCAUAACGUCGCAAGACCAAAGAGGGGGACCUUCGGGCCUCUCACUAUCGGAUGAACCCAGAUGGGAUUAGCUAGUAGGCGGGGUAACGGCCCACCUAGGCGACGAUCCCUAGCUGGUCUGAGAGGAUGACCAGCCACACUGGAACUGAGACACGGUCCAGACUCCUACGGGAGGCAGCAGUGGGGAAUAUUGCACAAUGGGCGCAAGCCUGAUGCAGCCAUGCCGCGUGUAUGAAGAAGGCCUUCGGGUUGUAAAGUACUUUCAGCGGGGAGGAAGGCGAUAAGGUUAAUAACCUUGUCGAUUGACGUUACCCGCAGAAGAAGCACCGGCUAACUCCGUGCCAGCCGCCGCCGUAA
This 504-nucleotide ribosomal RNA is filed under the name uncultured bacterium. RNAcentral's name for it is "partial 16S ribosomal RNA". It matches the Rfam family "Bacterial small subunit ribosomal RNA", at positions 30 to 523 of the family's 1533-position model. The record is from RNAcentral.